GAGAGAUGGCUCAGUGGUUUAGAGCACUUGUUCUUACAGAGGACCUGGGUUCAAUUCCCAGCACUCA
RNAcentral lists this transfer RNA (67 nucleotides) under Mus musculus (house mouse). It matches the Rfam family "tRNA". Rfam says of the family: Transfer RNA (tRNA) molecules are approximately 80 nucleotides in length. Their secondary structure includes four short double-helical elements and three loops (D, anti-codon, and T loops). Further hydrogen bonds mediate the characteristic L-shaped molecular structure. tRNAs have two regions of fundamental functional importance: the anti-codon, which is responsible for specific mRNA codon recognition, and the 3' end, to which the tRNAs corresponding amino acid is attached (by aminoacyl-tRNA synthetases). tRNAs cope with the degeneracy of the genetic code in two manners: having more than one tRNA (with a specific anti-codon) for a particular amino acid; and 'wobble' base-pairing, i.e. permitting non-standard base-pairing at the 3rd anti-codon position. The record is from Rfam by way of RNAcentral. Lineage: Eukaryota; Metazoa; Chordata; Mammalia; Rodentia; Muridae.